GACGAACGCUGGCGGCGUGCCUAAUACAUGCAAGUCGAGCGAAGUUUUUCUGGUGCUUGCACUAGAAAAACUUAGCGGCGAACGGGUGAGUAACACGUAAAGAACCUGCCUCAUAGACGGGGACAACUAUUGGAAACGAUAGCUAAUACCGGAUAACAGCAUAAAUCGCAUGAUAUAUGUUUAAAAGUUGGUUUCGGCUAACACUAUGAGAUGGCUUUGCGGUGCAUUAGCUAGUUGGUGGGGUAAAGGCCUACCAAGGCGACGAUGCAUAGCCGACCUGAGAGGGUGAUCGGCCACACUGGGACUGAGACACGGCCCAGACUCCUACGGGAGGCAGCAGUAGGGAAUCUUCCGCAAUGGGCGAAAGCCUGACGGAGCAACGCCGCGUGAGUGAGGAAGGAUUUCGGUUCGUAAAGCUCUGUUGUUAGGGAAGAAUGAUUGUAUAGUAACUAUAUACAGUAGAGACGGUACCUAACCAGAAAGCCACGGCUAACUACGUGCCAGCAGCCGCGGUAAUACGUAGGUGGCAAGCGUUGUCCGGAAUUAUUGGGCGUAAAGCGCGCGCAGGUGGUUUAAUAAGUCUGAUGUGAAAGCCCACGGCUCAACCGUGGAGGGUCAUUGGAAACUGUUAAACUUGAGUGCAGGAGAGAAAAGUGGAAUUCCUAGUGUAGCGGUGAAAUGCGUAGAGAUUAGGAGGAACACCAGUGGCGAAGGCGGCUUUUUGGCCUGUAACUGACACUGAGGCGCGAAAGCGUGGGGAGCAAACAGG
RNAcentral lists this ribosomal RNA (769 nucleotides) under uncultured bacterium. Its description in RNAcentral is "bacterial SSU rRNA". It matches the Rfam family "Bacterial small subunit ribosomal RNA", at positions 28 to 776 of the family's 1533-position model. The record is from RNAcentral.